Molecule: ribosomal RNA, 350 nt
Filed under: Adenomera lutzi (Lutz's thin-toed frog)
Lineage: Eukaryota; Metazoa; Chordata; Amphibia; Anura; Leptodactylidae
Description: partial 12S ribosomal RNA
Source: RNAcentral
CAUGCAAGUAUCCGCGCCCCUGUGAAAACGCCCUUAAAUCCCCCGUAGGGAUAAGGAGCUGGUAUUAGGCACAUUUAUAUUGCCCAAAACACCUAGCUAUGCCACACCCACAAGGGAUCUCAGCAGUAAUUAACAUUGAACAUCAGCGACAGCUUGAUUCAGUUAAAGUAAAAAGAGCCGGCUAAUCUGGUGCCAGCCGCCGCGGUUACACCAUGUGGCUCAAAUUGACCCCUAUCGGCGUAAAGAGUGAUUUAAGAAUCUUAUUAUUGGCGUUAAAUUUUAACUAAGCUGUGACACGCUUGUUCUUUAGAAACCCCAAAACGAAAGUUACACCAACUAAACCAACUUGA